This 253-nucleotide ribosomal RNA is filed under the name uncultured bacterium. RNAcentral describes it as "partial 16S ribosomal RNA". It matches the Rfam family "Bacterial small subunit ribosomal RNA", at positions 524 to 776 of the family's 1533-position model. The record is from RNAcentral.
UACGGGGGGGGCAAGCGUUGUUCGGAAUUACUGGGCGUAAAGGGCUCGUAGGGGGCCAACUAAGUCAGACGUGAAAUCCCUCGGCUUAACCGGGGAACUGCGUCUGAUACUGGAUGGCUUGAGUUCGGGAGAGGGAUGCGGAAUUCCAGGUGUAGCGGUGAAAUGCGCAGAUAUCAGGAAGAACACCAAUGGCGAAGGCAGCUCUCUGGGACGGUACUGACGCUGAGACGCGAAAGCGUGGGGAGCGAACAGG